This 77-nucleotide transfer RNA is filed under the name Clostridia bacterium. Its description in RNAcentral is "tRNA-Val". It matches the Rfam family "tRNA". Rfam says of the family: Transfer RNA (tRNA) molecules are approximately 80 nucleotides in length. Lineage: Bacteria; Bacillati; Bacillota; Clostridia. The record is from RNAcentral. RNAcentral also lists the same sequence under 1 other name.
GGGAACUUAGCUCAGCUGGUUAGAGUGCCUGCUUCACACGCAGGAGGUCGGCGGUUCGAGCCCGCCAGCUCCCACCA